Molecule: transfer RNA, 75 nt
Filed under: candidate division WWE3 bacterium RIFOXYA1_FULL_42_9
Lineage: Bacteria; candidate division WWE3
Also listed under: 2 other names
Description: tRNA-Asn
Rfam family: tRNA
About the family: Transfer RNA (tRNA) molecules are approximately 80 nucleotides in length. Their secondary structure includes four short double-helical elements and three loops (D, anti-codon, and T loops). Further hydrogen bonds mediate the characteristic L-shaped molecular structure. tRNAs have two regions of fundamental functional importance: the anti-codon, which is responsible for specific mRNA codon recognition, and the 3' end, to which the tRNAs corresponding amino acid is attached (by aminoacyl-tRNA synthetases). tRNAs cope with the degeneracy of the genetic code in two manners: having more than one tRNA (with a specific anti-codon) for a particular amino acid; and 'wobble' base-pairing, i.e. permitting non-standard base-pairing at the 3rd anti-codon position.
Source: RNAcentral
UCCCCUGUAGCUCAAUGGUAGAGCGUCCGACUGUUAAUCGGCAGGUUGGUGGUUCGAAUCCACCCGGGGGAGCCA